UUACGGCCACAUCACGUUGGAACACCGAUUCCCGGACAAUCACCGAAGUUAAGCAACAUCAAGCCAGAUCAGUACCUAGAUGGGUGAUCGCUUGGUAAUACCAGGUGCUGUAAG
Non-coding RNA from Acanthosepion pharaonis, 114 nucleotides. The record is from the annotation of a GenBank genome assembly. Lineage: Eukaryota; Metazoa; Mollusca; Cephalopoda; Sepiida; Sepiidae.